This 727-nucleotide ribosomal RNA is filed under the name uncultured Verrucomicrobia MT56. RNAcentral's name for it is "bacterial SSU rRNA". It matches the Rfam family "Bacterial small subunit ribosomal RNA", at positions 531 to 1256 of the family's 1533-position model. Lineage: Bacteria; Pseudomonadati; Verrucomicrobiota. The record is from RNAcentral.
GUGGCUAGCGUUGUUCGGAUUUACUGGGCGUAAAGCGUACGUAGGCGGUUCCGUGUGUCGGGUGUGAAAUCCCACGGCUUAACCGUGGAACUGCACCCGAAACUGCGGGGCUAGAGUGCAGGAGGGGAGAGCGGAAUUCUUAGUGUAGCGGUGAAAUGCGUUGAUAUUAAGAAGAACACCGGUGGCGAAGGCGGCUCUCUGGAAUGUUACUGACGCUGAGGUACGAAAGUUGGGGGAGCAAACAGGAUUAGAUACCCUGGUAGUCCCAACCGUAAACGGUGUGAACUUGGUGUAGGGGGUAUUGACCCCCCCUGUGCCGGAGCUAACGCGUUAAGUUCACCGCCUGGGGAGUACGGCCGCAAGGCUAAAACUCAAAGAAAUUGACGGGGGCCCGCACAAGCGGAGGAGCAUGUGGCUUAAUUCGAUGCAACGCGAAGAACCUUACCUGGGCUUGACAUGGCGACCCUUCGGGGUGGUAGCGAAAGUUACCUUUACGAUCACAGGUGCUGCAUGGCUGUCGUCAGUUCGUGCCGUGAGGUGUUGGGUUAAGUCCCGCAACGAACGCAACCCUUGUGACUAGUUACCAGCGUCGGUGUUAAGCCGACAGGCACUCUAGCCAGACUGCCCGUCAAACGGGAGGAAGGUGGGGAUGACGUCAAGUCAAUAUGGGCCUUACGUCCAGGGCUGCACACGUGCUACAAUGGCCGGUACAGAAGGAAGCAACACC